Molecule: ribosomal RNA, 405 nt
Filed under: uncultured bacterium
Lineage: Bacteria
Description: partial 16S ribosomal RNA
Rfam family: Bacterial small subunit ribosomal RNA
Source: RNAcentral
AUUGAACGCUGGCGGCAGGCUUAACACAUGCAAGUCGAACGAGUGGCGGACGUGUGAGACAUGCUUGGGAACCUAGCUUAUGGAGGGGGAUAACUACGGGAAACUGUAGCUAAUCCCGCGAACCUUAGGCUGAGCCCAGGUGGGAUUAGGUAGUUGGUGAGGUAAAGGCUCACCAAGACGACGAUGCCUAGCUGGUCUGCGAGGAUGACCGGCCACACUGGAAAUGAGACACGGCCCAGACUCCUACGGGAGGCAGCAGUGGGGAAUAUUGCGCAAUGGGGGAAAGCUGACGGAGCCAUGCCGCGUGACUGAUGAAGGCCUUCGGGUUGUAAAGUUCUUUCGGUAGCGAGGCGUUAACUACAGAAGAAGCACCGGCUAACUCCGUGCCAGCAGCCGCGGUAAUUC